GUGGAUAGAAUACUAAUUAUACACCUUUUAUGACAACCAACUUAGUUAUUUCAUCAACCAAUUUUUGGGUUAGUAGCUAGCUCCAAUUGUUCCCAAGUACUAAUUGUAUAAGUGGGUACAAACUUCAGCCAAACUCUAGCUUUGCCAUGUUGAUUCUUAGGGUUAGUUUGGGAGUUAGAUUUUCGAGGGGAAGGAAAGAAAAUGUAAGGCUUAGGAGGCAUAAAAUACAUUUGUGAGAUGACUCCAAAGCCUUUACUUUCCCUUCAUUCACAUCCAAAAUCCAACUCCCAAACUAACCCUUAGAGUCUCUUAGAGUUCCAAGAACAUGUCUAUAUGAUUGUUUGGUUCUUCUGAAGGCACUCUACAAAAUGAAUUAUGUCUUAUCAUUUAGAUUAGAGUAGAUUUUAUGGUGAAAGUGCUUCGCUUCUAUGGAUGGCUUUGCAAUUUCGGAUCUGGACCUCAAGCAUGAGGUGCUAUAUAUUUCUUGAGUGAUUUGUUGUCUUGAUCAGCCAUUGCUUCCAUCAUUUUAGAUCUUUUUCUUGAUCUUUCCAUUUGUUGCAUUGUCAUCUUCUUCAAUGAAAGGUCGUCUUGGGUUCUAGGCCAGCUAUGCUUGAAGUCCUAUAAUCAUUGGUUCUUUGCAUAUACUUAGAUCAACAACAUGUGGAUGUACUGAGAGAAAACAAAGUAUAAUACAACAAUGUUUAAAGUUAAUUAAAAUCAGAACAAAAAUUCAAAAAAAUAUGAUGCACAAGAUCCACACAAGUAUACGAGUCUU
RNAcentral lists this long non-coding RNA (775 nucleotides) under Lupinus angustifolius (narrow-leaved blue lupine). Its description in RNAcentral is "long non-coding RNA (LANG_LNC002558)". The record is from RNAcentral. Lineage: Eukaryota; Viridiplantae; Streptophyta; Magnoliopsida; Fabales; Fabaceae.